ACUGCCUGAGAAAUAUUCCACGCAAGCAUAAUCGAGAAAGCAACGACCAGUCCCCUACAAAGCAAUUAUAAUGCUCUUGGUUUGCGCUCGUGUAGCAACUACCCUCCGCUAAGCCUAUGACGUCAAGGCAUUCGGAAAGCAAAAGCACCUUCCUUCCCGGCCCGCCCUAACCACCCGAUUUUCCUACCGCUGAGGCCCGGACGAAUUUUCAAGUGUCCGACGAAGGGAAUAUUUCGCUCUUACCAGGAUUUACUCCAAGUUGAGAUCUUGGCAACAUGUAAUCGUUUUAAGUUAUAAAAAUGUCCUCAAAACCGUGGCUGCUGACUUUUUAUCCCAUACAAAGCGAAAGUUUGGGAGCAUCAGAACUUUUCAAGUAGGCUCAAGUACAGCAUAUAGCCCCUUCCACCUAAGUUUAUCCAGACGGAAGCCGUAUCAUGGUGUUGGCUUCAAAACUCAGCUGACGUCUUGAGUACGAGAAGCCUUUUGGUAAUACAGGCCAUUUCUGAGGAAUAUCAAAAAAUCAUCGAAGCCAAUAAUGAUCUUCCCACAUUGUGAGGAAAGGUUAUGAGUAAAAGUCUGGCUACAAUGUCCGGUGUAUUGCUCAAGAAACCAG
This is a long non-coding RNA of Macrobrachium nipponense, 613 nucleotides long. RefSeq lists it as uncharacterized. The transcript is spliced from 3 exons. The record is from RefSeq and is a predicted model, not a curated record. Lineage: Eukaryota; Metazoa; Arthropoda; Malacostraca; Decapoda; Palaemonidae.